RNAcentral lists this ribosomal RNA (636 nucleotides) under uncultured bacterium. RNAcentral describes it as "bacterial SSU rRNA". It matches the Rfam family "Bacterial small subunit ribosomal RNA", at positions 28 to 655 of the family's 1533-position model. The record is from RNAcentral.
AUUGAACGCUGGCGGCAGGCUUAACACAUGCAAGUCGAGCGGUAACAGAUCCAGCUUGCUGGAUGCUGACGAGCGGCGGACGGGUGAGUAAUGCAUAGGAAUCUGCCCAGUAGUUGGGGAUAGCCCGGGGAAACCCGGAUUAAUACCGAAUACGCCCUACGGGGGAAAGCAGGGGAUCUUCGGACCUUGCGCUAUUGGAUGAGCCUAUGUCGGAUUAGCUAGUUGGUGGGGUAAUGGCCUACCAAGGCGACGAUCCGUAGCUGGUCUGAGAGGAUGAUCAGCCACAUCGGGACUGAGACACGGCCCGAACUCCUACGGGAGGCAACAGUGGGGAAUAUUGGACAAUGGGGGCAACCCUGAUCCAGCCAUGCCGCGUGUGUGAAGAAGGCUUUCGGGUUGUAAAGCACUUUCAGUGAGGAGGAAAACCUUAUGGCUAAUAUCCAUGAGGCUUGACGUUACUCACAGAAGAAGCACCGGCUAACUCCGUGCCAGCAGCCGCGGUAAUACGGAGGGUGCAAGCGUUAAUCGGAAUUACUGGGCGUAAAGCGCGCGUAGGUGGUUUGGUAAGCGAGAUGUGAAAGCCCCGGGCUUAACCUGGGAACGGCAUUUCGAACUGUCAGACUAGAGUGUGGUAGA